RNAcentral lists this ribosomal RNA (468 nucleotides) under uncultured bacterium. Its description in RNAcentral is "partial 16S ribosomal RNA". It matches the Rfam family "Bacterial small subunit ribosomal RNA", at positions 28 to 507 of the family's 1533-position model. The record is from RNAcentral.
GACGAACGCUGGCGGCGUGCUUAACACAUGCAAGUCGAACGGAAAGUCCCUGCUUUUGUGGGCUGCUCUAGUGGCGAACGGGUAAGUAACACGUGAGUAACCUGCCCUUGACUUUGGGAUAACUUCAGAAAACUUGGGCUAAUACCGGAUAGGAGCUCCUGCUGCAUGGUGGGGGUUGGAAAGUUUCGGCGGUUGGGGAUGGACUCGCGGCUUAUCAGCUUGUUGGUGGGGUAGUGUCUUAGCAAGGCUUUGAGCGGUAGCCGGGCUGAGAGGGUGACCGGACACGUUGGGACGGAGAUGCGGCACAGCCUCGAAUGGUAGGCAGGGGUGGGGUAGAUUGUACUAUGGGAGGGAGCAUGAUGUAGUCACGCAGCGCGCGGUAAGAGGUCAAUCGGGUAGUAUAGCGAUUCUGCCUGUGCCGGAGUGUGAGUGACGGUAAUGGGUAAAGAAGCACCGGCUAACUACGUG